Columba livia (rock pigeon) is the source of this 3553-nucleotide long non-coding RNA. RefSeq lists it as uncharacterized. NCBI's taxonomy places the organism in Eukaryota, Metazoa, Chordata, Aves, Columbiformes, Columbidae. The record is from RefSeq and is a predicted model, not a curated record. The transcript is spliced from 3 exons.
UCCCUCUUCUUUCCACCGACCAUGAACUGCGCAGCUUAUUCGCCUGCGGCCACUGGGAUUUCGGCGGUUCGGGCACCCUUCGGGAAAGCGUUCGUUGCCGUAAAUCGAAUGGCUCUGACAAAGCAGCUGAAAUGCCGUCACCAGCAUCACAAGCACCGCGGUGCCACCGUCCCAUCCCCAGCGUGCUCCUCUACAGCGACUCCGAUCUCGCCAGCAGCCAGACACUGGAGGCAAAGCAGCACGACAAGCUGUGUGUGAGCAACGGCCCCUACAACCAAACUUUGGACAUCAGUCCUAAGGCUGGAUCCCACCCCCACGUCACUCCCACACCCCAGCAGGGACCCCGAGGAGCUGGACGGACCCGCGGGCAGGGAAGUGCUGUGAGAAGCUUUUAAGAAAGGACCUUGUGCCACUGAUCCCCACCAAGAGUUGGAGGUGCCGCGCUACCGAUGCCACACCACGGGAAUUUGCGUUUGCCACAGGGAAAACUGUCUGCUAGGAACUCAUGACCAUGGCAGGUACAGGUGGGACUGCAGAGGCGGCGUGGAAAGAAGUUGUAAGAGAUUACUCUUAUUUAUUGCUGGUAUAAGAGGUAUAAAGCUUUAAACGCCCCAUUCGCGGCAGAGAAGCGACUGUAAAGCGCCACAUCAAAUAGACCAGGGAGAGCUGCCGUGCUAGGAACAACCCGCCAUCAAUAAGUAUCCCAAUAUCCGCGCUGGCUGAAUUAAUCUUCCUUCCCCUCAGCCCAGGGGUUGUGUUGAUAAGCCCUUCAGCUGCGCUUGGGCUGCUCGGGUGUCUUUGUGCAGCGUCCCCCCCUCGGCGCACCCGCGCCGGCUGCCGGGAGCUCAGGAAGCAUGGAGUUAACUAAGUUUGCCUUUUCCUCCAUCCCAACAAUCGGAAUCAGCAGUUUGCAUUAUUUUAAAAAUGAAUGUUCAGAAUCAGCAAUUUUCUUCUUUUUUUUUCUUUCUUCCUUUUUUUUUUUUUUUAAAGAUCUUGAGGGUUUUUUUUAUUUAAAGUGGAAAACUACAUUAAGUGCAAGGCACUCAACAAAGAAACAGUCAUAAAGCCUAAGUAUUCUUAGAGUUAUAAAAUAUGUCCGUGGUGGCAAUUCGACUGCCAACAAUGAAGUUUUAAGCAUUAAUAUGCCUUCAUUGCAGUUUUAAUGCCUUAAUAUUGACUCUAUAGCUCUUUUGGGUAAUUUUGCUUUCUCUGGUACUUGAAAGGUGAUGAUGUCAGCGUUCUUCAUACUGAUUCAUAUGCAGGUUGAUGAAGCUGAGUUAUUUAUUGAGUUCCAUUAUAUUUUCUAUAAACAUUAGUUCUCAAUAAACAGAGACAUUUAGCCGAGGGUUUAUUUAUUAAAUAGGUACUGUACAGAUGGUUUUGCCACACAUGAUGUGCUGCAGAGGAUAUUACUCAGGAAUAAUCAGCUGUGUUAUAGCUUGGCUAAAUUAAUAAGAUGAUAAUGAUGAAAUUGAUGCUUUUGAGCUAGGCUUGGUAAAUGGUUUUUGCAUAAACAAACUGAUAAAUUUGAGAAGCAAUUACUUGCUUGUCAAAGAUAAAAACACAACAGGGCCCAUUUAUAGUUAGGUCCUAUUUAUUUUUAAAGAUUGUACCAGAUUUUAUGUUUAAUACGCUGCAAUUAAAAAAUAAUACUUAAAUGAAGAAUAAUAAAAAACUAACUUUCUGAGCUCUCCUUCAAAUUUGAAGAUGCAGCAUUGCUUGGUUAGACAUCAAGUAAACUUUUUCAAGGCUUUCACUACGUGGAGAAAAAAUAGAAUUGUUUUAUGAAAGAUGCUGUCUGCAGUUGUGCGACGCAGGCUCCGGCAGCGCUUUCUGUAGCAGUGCUUGCUCUAAAAUCAAGCUGGGUUUCGUGUAGAGAAAUAUAGUCUCCAAUUCUCUGUCUAGUGCUGGUUUUGCUGCCAGCAAACAAAACACCAACUUCAUGUAACUCUCCAAUAAGAGGAUGAAUUGUGUGUGUAUAGGUGUGUUUGUGUGUACAUAUACAUAUACAACAAAUACGGAUUGCUGCAGCGGUUCAGCCUGGAGAACCCGAGGCGGAGGGGAGACUUUCUCGCUUGCUACAACUACUUGAAAGGAGGUUGUAGCAUGGAGGGGGUUGGUUUCUUCUCCCCAGGAACAAGCGCCAGGAGCAGGGGAAACGGCCUCAAGUUGCACCAGGGGAGGUUGAGGUUGGAUGUGGGAACAAUUUCUUCCCCAAAGGGCUGUGGGACAUUGGAACAGGCUGCCCAGGGCAGUGCUGGAGUCACCGUCCCUGGAGGGUUGGACAGACGGACAUGAGGUUCUCAGGGACAUGGGGCAGUGCCAGGAGGGGGUUAUGGUUGGACUCAAUGAUCUUGAGGGGCUUUUCCAACCAAGAUGAUUCUAUGACUUGCCAGCUAACAAAUGUGUUAUGUGGAUCUAUAUACCAACCAGAGUAGCUUAUUUAUAUAGGAAAACCAAAUGGACAAGCGAAGGGCGGCCCUCACUUUACAGUGUCCGGUAGUUUCCAUCAGAGGCUCUGAAGGCACCUCAUGAACUUCUGUUUAGCUUUGUAACGUCCCUGGGAUGUCAGUGUUAUCACUCACGUCACCGCCGUCUCCUCGGCGGGAACAGGCAGGUCCUGUGUGCACCAGCAGGACAAUGAUGCUCCCAACAAUUUAUUUUACCGUUUUGUGCACUGAAGGAGGGCUCAGGCCUUCAAUUAAUUCAAAAAUACAGUGCAGAUCAACCUGCUCAGCUGGGAUAAGUGUGCAGGGACAGGGACUUCAUCACACUACCCUUCCAGGAACAAACGCAGUGUGAACUGACAUCCUGCUGCUGAACUGAAUUGUUUUUAGCGAGAAGGUGCUGAGCAGGGAAAGGCGAAGCCGUUUCCAUGCUGUGCUGCCACUUACCCAGGCCGGGGGGCGGUGUGAAAUGGAGCCGAUGCCUUUCGGCUGCACUGGUGGCUUCAGAGUGUAUCUUGGCAAAAGAUUUGGGUGGAAAAAAGAGUCUCUUCCUUUGAGCAUUGCCCAGUUUCUUGUGCUGAAAAGGGAAAAAACUGCAAAAAGUCAAAGUCCCUUCCGUGCUUUCAAAAUAAAAUUACUUUUAAAGUAUUCCGGGCAAUUUAAUGUAAAAAAUUAUAGGGUUUAUUCAGGUUUUGUUUUUUUUUUUUUAGAAAAUGCCAUGUUCAAAGAAAAUAUUUCUUUUUAAGUAAAACAAGCUUGCUCUCAGUGAAGAUUUUCUCCCCCUGCAGAGCUUUACAGCACCCAAAGAUAUUGUUGAUCAACAAGAACCGAGGCAGAAUUUUCCUAGAACAUUGUUGAAGUUUUUUCUUGCUUUAGACAAGGUCAGCACUGGACUUUGGGUUUGGUAAAAGAGUCAACUGGGCGCUGCCAUUGCAAGAAAACAAUUUACUUUGAAUAGAGAGAAACCUGGAGGGGCAGCUGCAGAUGCCUGGGCUUAGGAGUGCUGGCUGUGCCGUGCCAGCGUGGGCACCAAACUGCUUCAGUGUCUUGAGUCUGCCUUAAAACCCAGCGUAUGGCAGCGCUUUAAAUUAGAAUCAUCCAUUAGU